RNAcentral lists this ribosomal RNA (440 nucleotides) under uncultured bacterium. Its description in RNAcentral is "partial 16S ribosomal RNA". It matches the Rfam family "Bacterial small subunit ribosomal RNA", at positions 338 to 795 of the family's 1533-position model. The record is from RNAcentral.
CCUACGGGGGGCAGCAGUGGGGAAUAUUGCACAAUGGGGGAAACCCUGAUGCAGCGACGCCGCGUGAGUGAGGAAGUAUUUCGGUAUGUAAAGCUCUAUCAGCAGGGAAGAAAAUGACGGUACCUGACUAAGAAGCCCCGGCUAACUACGUGCCAGCAGCCGCGGUAAUACGUAGGGGGCAAGCGUUAUCCGGAUUUACUGGGUGUAAAGGGAGCGUAGACGGAAUAGCAAGUCUGAUGUGAAAACCCGGGACUCAACUCCGGGAGUGCAUUGGAAACUGUUGAUCUAGAGUGUCGGAGAGGCAAGCGGAAUUCCUAGGGUAGCGGUGAAAUGCGUAGAUAUUAGGAGGAACACCAGAGGCGAAGGCGAAUUGCUGGAAGAUGACGGACGUUGAGGCUCGAAAGCGUGGGGAGCAAACAGGAUUAGAUACCCCGGUAGUC